ACUAAGCGUACACGGUGGAUGCCCUGGCAGUCAGAGGCGAUGAAGGACGUGCUAAUCUGCGAUAAGCGUCGGUAAGGUGAUAUGAACCGUUAUAACCGGCGAUUUCCGAAUGGGGAAACCCAGUGUGUUUCGACACACUAUCAUUAACUGAAUCCAUAGGUUAAUGAGGCGAACCGGGGGAACUGAAACAUCUAAGUACCCCGAGGAAAAGAAAUCAACCGAGAUUCCCCCAGUAGCGGCGAGCGAACGGGGAGCAGCCCAGAGCCUGAAUCAGUGUGUGUGUUAGUGGAAGCGUCUGGAAAGGCGCGCGAUACAGGGUGACAGCCCCGUACACAAAAAUGCACAUGCUGUGAGCUCGAUGAGUAGGGCGGGACACGUGGUAUCCUGUCUGAAUAUGGGGGGACCAUCCUCCAAGGCUAAAUACUCCUGACUGACCGAUAGUGAACCAGUACCGUGAGGGAAAGGCGAAAAGAACCCCGGCGAGGGGAGUGAAAAAGAACCUGAAACCGUGUACGUACAAGCAGUGGGAGCACGCUUAGGCGUGUGACUGCGUACCUUUUGUAUAAUGGGUCAGCGACUUAUAUUCUGUAGCAAGGUUAACCGAAUAGGGGAGCCGAAGGGAAACCGAGUCUUAACUGGGCGUUAAGUUGCAGGGUAUAGACCCGAAACCCGGUGAUCUAGCCAUGGGCAGGUUGAAGGUUGGGUAACACUAACUGGAGGACCGAACCGACUAAUGUUGAAAAAUUAGCGGAUGACUUGUGGCUGGGGGUGAAAGGCCAAUCAAACCGGGAGAUAGCUGGUUCUCCCCGAAAGCUAUUUAGGUAGCGCCUCGUGAAUUCAUCUCCGGGGGUAGAGCACUGUUUCGGCAAGGGGGUCAUCCCGACUUACCAACCCGAUGCAAACUGCGAAUACCGGAGAAUGUUAUCACGGGAGACACACGGCGGGUGCUAACGUCCGUCGUGAAGAGGGAAACAACCCAGACCGCCAGCUAAGGUCCCAAAGUCAUGGUUAAGUGGGAAACGAUGUGGGAAGGCCCAGACAGCCAGGAUGUUGGCUUAGAAGCAGCCAUCAUUUAAAGAAAGCGUAAUAGCUCACUGGUCGAGUCGGCCUGCGCGGAAGAUGUAACGGGGCUAAACCAUGCACCGAAGCUGCGGCAGCGACGCUUAUGCGUUGUUGGGUAGGGGAGCGUUCUGUAAGCCUGCGAAGGUGUGCUGUGAGGCAUGCUGGAGGUAUCAGAAGUGCGAAUGCUGACAUAAGUAACGAUAAAGCGGGUGAAAAGCCCGCUCGCCGGAAGACCAAGGGUUCCUGUCCAACGUUAAUCGGGGCAGGGUGAGUCGACCCCUAAGGCGAGGCCGAAAGGCGUAGUCGAUGGGAAACAGGUUAAUAUUCCUGUACUUGGUGUUACUGCGAAGGGGGGACGGAGAAGGCUAUGUUGGCCGGGCGACGGUUGUCCCGGUUUAAGCGUGUAGGCUGGUUUUCCAGGCAAAUCCGGAAAAUCAAGGCUGAGGCGUGAUGACGAGGCACUACGGUGCUGAAGCAACAAAUGCCCUGCUUCCAGGAAAAGCCUCUAAGCAUCAGGUAACAUCAAAUCGUACCCCAAACCGACACAGGUGGUCAGGUAGAGAAUACCAAGGCGCUUGAGAGAACUCGGGUGAAGGAACUAGGCAAAAUGGUGCCGUAACUUCGGGAGAAGGCACGCUGAUAUGUAGGUGAAGCGACUUGCUCGUGGAGCUGAAAUCAGUCGAAGAUACCAGCUGGCUGCAACUGUUUAUUAAAAACACAGCACUGUGCAAACACGAAAGUGGACGUAUACGGUGUGACGCCUGCCCGGUGCCGGAAGGUUAAUUGAUGGGGUUAGCGCAAGCGAAGCUCUUGAUCGAAGCCCCGGUAAACGGCGGCCGUAACUAUAACGGUCCUAAGGUAGCGAAAUUCCUUGUCGGGUAAGUUCCGACCUGCACGAAUGGCGUAAUGAUGGCCAGGCUGUCUCCACCCGAGACUCAGUGAAAUUGAACUCGCUGUGAAGAUGCAGUGUACCCGCGGCAAGACGGAAAGACCCCGUGAACCUUUACUAUAGCUUGACACUGAACAUUGAGCCUUGAUGUGUAGGAUAGGUGGGAGGCUUAGAAGUGUGGACGCCAGUCUGCAUGGAGCCGACCUUGAAAUACCACCCUUUAAUGUUUGAUGUUCUAACGUUGACCCGUAAUCCGGGUUGCGGACAGUGUCUGGUGGGUAGUUUGACUGGGGCGGUCUCCUCCUAAAGAGUAACGGAGGAGCACGAAGGUUGGCUAAUCCUGGUCGGACAUCAGGAGGUUAGUGCAAUGGCAUAAGCCAGCUUGACUGCGAGCGUGACGGCGCGAGCAGGUGCGAAAGCAGGUCAUAGUGAUCCGGUGGUUCUGAAUGGAAGGGCCAUCGCUCAACGGAUAAAAGGUACUCCGGGGAUAACAGGCUGAUACCGCCCAAGAGUUCAUAUCGACGGCGGUGUUUGGCACCUCGAUGUCGGCUCAUCACAUCCUGGGGCUGAAGUAGGUCCCAAGGGUAUGGCUGUUCGCCAUUUAAAGUGGUACGCGAGCUGGGUUUAGAACGUCGUGAGACAGUUCGGUCCCUAUCUGCCGUGGGCGCUGGAGAACUGAGGGGGGCUGCUCCUAGUACGAGAGGACCGGAGUGGACGCAUCACUGGUGUUCGGGUUGUCAUGCCAAUGGCACUGCCCGGUAGCUAAAUGCGGAAGAGAUAAGUGCUGAAAGCAUCUAAGCACGAAACUUGCCCCGAGAUGAGUUCUCCCUGACCCUUUAAGGGUCCUGAAGGAACGUUGAAGACGACGACGUUGAUAGGCCGGGUGUGUAAGCGCAGCGAUGCGUUGAGCUAACCGGUACUAAUGAACCGUGAGGCUUAACC
RNAcentral lists this ribosomal RNA (2893 nucleotides) under Escherichia coli. Its description in RNAcentral is "bacterial LSU rRNA". It matches the Rfam family "Bacterial large subunit ribosomal RNA". Lineage: Bacteria; Pseudomonadati; Pseudomonadota; Gammaproteobacteria; Enterobacterales; Enterobacteriaceae. RNAcentral also lists the same sequence under 2 other names. The record is from RNAcentral.